Molecule: ribosomal RNA, 253 nt
Filed under: uncultured bacterium
Lineage: Bacteria
Description: partial 16S ribosomal RNA
Rfam family: Bacterial small subunit ribosomal RNA
Source: RNAcentral
UACGUAGGCAGCAAGCGUUGUUCGGAGUUACUGGGCGUAAAGGGUGUGUAGGCGGUUGGAUAAGUGUGGUGUGAAAUCUCCCGGCUUAACUGGGAGGGUGCGCUACAAACUGUCUGACUAGAGUGUGGGAUGGGUAAGUGGAAUUCCUGGUGUAGCGGUGAAAUGCGUAGAUAUCGGGAAGAACACCCGUGGCGAAGGCGGCUCUCUGGGACGGUACUGACGCUGAGACGCGAAAGCGUGGGGAGCGAACAGG